UUGUGUCCUAAAAUUGUUUGGGACAUUUCAUUGAGUCCAGUACUCUUUAAAAUGUAAGGGUGACAAUUUUCGUAUUUUUUUUCAGUUUUUCGGGCCGAACGGUCCCGUGUGGGACCCGCUACCUGAAUUGUUGCUCGCGGGAAAUUUUGUUGGGUCCAAUUGCAUUAUGUUUAUUUUAUUUAAUGUGAUUUAGAGGAUUGUGAAUUAAAUGUGUAAUUAUAUAUGCAUGUGUUGUAAAUUAAAAAGAAAAGAAAAAGAAAAAUUAAAAAGAAAAAGGUGGGACCCACCACUAUUGCACAAAAAGGGGUUAGAGAUCAUUUUGAUCUGAUUUCCCAAUUCUCUCUCUCUCACUCCCGCAGGUCCUCUCUCUCCCUUCCUUGGCUUCACUUUUUCUUUUUCUUUUUGCUUCUAAACUUCAAGUUUAGAUCUCUCUUUCAAUACUUGAUCAUUUUGGGUGUUGUUUGCGGCAAAUCGAAGCCCACGACGAGAUCUUUCAUUUGAUCAGACCAAUUUGGUGUUUGGUACACUAUAGGAAUUUCGAAAUUCUAGGGCACAAUUGGGGAUUUUGCACAAUCUUGAGGACCGAGAAAUGGAAUAGGAGACGCAAACCCUUCAGAAGCAUGACAAAGACUUGGAAUAUACUUUUGUUUCCUUUUGUGUAUCCACUAACCUUUUGUAAAGUCUCAGAACUGUAAUAAAGUACAUUCAUUUUGCAAACCUUGACUAUGUAUUGUAAUUAUAAUUCUCAAUGAAAUUUUGAUGUAACUUGAGACUAUGUAACAUUUCCUAAUAAAUGGGUUAAGAAAUUAUAUUUUGAUCAA
Molecule: long non-coding RNA, 821 nt
Organism: Cornus florida
Lineage: Eukaryota; Viridiplantae; Streptophyta; Magnoliopsida; Cornales; Cornaceae
Exons: 2
Source: RefSeq, a predicted model, not a curated record